RNAcentral lists this transfer RNA (73 nucleotides) under Amphimedon queenslandica. RNAcentral describes it as "tRNA-Arg". It matches the Rfam family "tRNA". Rfam says of the family: Transfer RNA (tRNA) molecules are approximately 80 nucleotides in length. Their secondary structure includes four short double-helical elements and three loops (D, anti-codon, and T loops). Further hydrogen bonds mediate the characteristic L-shaped molecular structure. tRNAs have two regions of fundamental functional importance: the anti-codon, which is responsible for specific mRNA codon recognition, and the 3' end, to which the tRNAs corresponding amino acid is attached (by aminoacyl-tRNA synthetases). tRNAs cope with the degeneracy of the genetic code in two manners: having more than one tRNA (with a specific anti-codon) for a particular amino acid; and 'wobble' base-pairing, i.e. permitting non-standard base-pairing at the 3rd anti-codon position. The record is from Rfam by way of RNAcentral. Lineage: Eukaryota; Metazoa; Porifera; Demospongiae; Haplosclerida; Niphatidae.
GGCCCUGUGGCCCAACGGAUAAGGCGUCUGACUACGGAUCAGAAGAUUCCAGGUUCAAAUCCUGGCAGGGUCG